AAUUUUGGACAAUGGGGGCAACCCUGAUCCAGCCAUCCCGCGGGUGCGAUGAAGGCCUUCGGGUUGUAAAGCACUUUUGGCAGGUAAGAAAAGGCUCUGGCUAAUACAUGGCGCUGCUGACGGUACCGGCAGAAUAAGCACCGGCUAACUCAGUUCCAGCAGCCGCGGUAAUACGUAGGGUGCAAGCGUUAAUCGGAAUUACUGGGCGUAAAGCGUGCGCAGUCGGUUCGGAAAGCAGGAUGUGAAAUCCCAGGGCUUAACCUUGGAACUGCAUUCUUAACUGCCGGGCUAGAGUAUGUCAGAGGGGGGUAGAAUCCCGCGUGUAGCAGUGAAAUGCGUAGAGAUGCGGAGGCAUACCGAUGGCGAAGGCAGCCCCCUGGGAUAAUACUGACGCUCAUGCACGAAAGCGUGGGGAGCAAAC
Molecule: ribosomal RNA, 421 nt
Filed under: uncultured bacterium
Lineage: Bacteria
Description: partial 16S ribosomal RNA
Rfam family: Bacterial small subunit ribosomal RNA
Source: RNAcentral